AGUAACGGAGCUCGAGGCACUUGUUUAC
Molecule: small RNA, 28 nt
Filed under: Bombyx mori (domestic silkworm)
Lineage: Eukaryota; Metazoa; Arthropoda; Insecta; Lepidoptera; Bombycidae
Description: ovarian small RNA-12246
Source: RNAcentral